GUGGGUGGAAGCUCAUCAUAGAGGUCACAUGCAGGGUGCUAAUCACUCAACCAAUCACCCUUGGACAAGAGCCAAUCACUGCCCUAGUAGGACUUCACUUGAUCUGGGUGAGUGAGUACACAUAGGAUAUUGGCCAUUGUGAGCGCUCUUCACAGGAGAUUACCAGUCAGUUAGACUCUAGUGAUUGUGACCUACCUUGCUUGUAAACACUCAUGGUUGGCAUAUGAGUGCAAUGUGUGAUUUGGAUUAUACCUCCAGAACCCAAUUCAGACUACUCUCUGUCCAGU
Molecule: RNase P RNA, 287 nt
Filed under: Oncorhynchus kisutch (coho salmon)
Lineage: Eukaryota; Metazoa; Chordata; Actinopteri; Salmoniformes; Salmonidae
Description: Nuclear RNase P (ENSOKIG00005019601.1)
Rfam family: Nuclear RNase P
About the family: Ribonuclease P (RNase P) is a ubiquitous endoribonuclease, found in archaea, bacteria and eukarya as well as chloroplasts and mitochondria. Its best characterised activity is the generation of mature 5'-ends of tRNAs by cleaving the 5'-leader elements of precursor-tRNAs. Cellular RNase Ps are ribonucleoproteins.
Source: RNAcentral